RNAcentral lists this ribosomal RNA (253 nucleotides) under uncultured bacterium. RNAcentral describes it as "partial 16S ribosomal RNA". It matches the Rfam family "Bacterial small subunit ribosomal RNA", at positions 524 to 776 of the family's 1533-position model. The record is from RNAcentral.
UACAGAGGUCUCAAGCGUUGUUCGGAUUCAUUGAGCGUAAAGGGUGCGUAGGUGGCGGGGUAAGUCUGGUGUGAAAUCUCGGGGCUCAACCCCGAAACUGCACUGGAUACUGCCUUGCUCGAGUACUGGAGAGGAGAUUGGAAUUUACGGUGUAGCAGUGAAAUGCGUAGAUAUCGUAAGGAAGACCAGUGGCGAAGGCGAAUCUCUGGACAGUUACUGACACUGAGGCACGAAGGCCAGGGGAGCAAACGGG